GCGACAGGCCUAACACAUGCAAGUCGAGGGCAGCACAAGGAGCAAUCUGAGGUGGCGACCGGCGCACGGGUGAGUAACACGUAUGCAACCUGCCUAGUAAGCGGGGAAUAACCCGUUGAAAGACGGACUAAUACCGCAUAAUACUAAAUUACUGCAUGGUAAUUUAUUUAAACAUUUAUGGCUUACAGAUGGGCAUGCGCAUGAUUAGCUAGUUGGAGAGGUAACGGCUCCCCAAGGCAACGAUCAUUAGGGGUUCUGAGAGGAAGGUCCCCCCACACUGGUACUGAGACACGGACCAGACUCCUACGGGAGGCAGCAGUGAGGAAUAUUGGUCAAUGGACGAGAGUCUGAACCAGCCAAGUCGCGUGCAGGAAGAAUGUCCUAUGGAUUGUAAACUGCUUUUGCAGGGGAAUAAAGUGCAUCACGUGUGAUGUUUUGUAUGUACUCUGCGAAUAAGGAUCGGCUAACUCCGUGCCAGCCGCAGC
RNAcentral lists this ribosomal RNA (485 nucleotides) under uncultured bacterium. Its description in RNAcentral is "bacterial SSU rRNA". It matches the Rfam family "Bacterial small subunit ribosomal RNA", at positions 39 to 518 of the family's 1533-position model. The record is from RNAcentral.